RNAcentral lists this ribosomal RNA (253 nucleotides) under uncultured bacterium. Its description in RNAcentral is "partial 16S ribosomal RNA". It matches the Rfam family "Bacterial small subunit ribosomal RNA", at positions 524 to 776 of the family's 1533-position model. The record is from RNAcentral.
UACAGAGGGGGCAAGCGUUAUUCGGAAUUAUUGGGCGUAAAGGGCGCGCAGGCGGCUUUGCAAGUGACGGGUGAAAGCCCUCGGCUUAACCGAGGAACUGCCUGUCAGACUGUAAGGCUUGAGACCGGGAGAGGUGAGUGGAAUUCCCAGUGUAGCGGUGAAAUGCGUAGAUAUUGGGAGGAACACCAGUGGCGAAGGCGGCUCACUGGACCGGAACUGACGCUGAGGCGCGAAAGCGUGGGGAGCAAACAGG